This is a non-coding RNA of Lophium mytilinum, 72 nucleotides long. The record is from the annotation of a GenBank genome assembly. Lineage: Eukaryota; Fungi; Ascomycota; Dothideomycetes; Mytilinidiales; Mytilinidiaceae.
GGCACCAUGGCCUAAUGGUAAGGCGCUACUUUCCGGUGGUAGAGACUGAGGGUUCGAGUCCCUCUGGUGUCG